AAAAGAGGGAGCGAGCGUUAAUCGGAAUUACUGGGCGUAAAGCGCACGUAGGUGGCGACGUAAGUCGGGUGUGAAAGCCCCGGGCUCAACCUGGGAAUUGCAUUCGAGACUGCAUUGCUGGAGUACGGAAGAGGAGGGCGGAAUUCCCGGUGUAGCGGUGAAAUGCGUAGAUAUCGGGAGGAACAUCAGUGGCGAAGGCGGCCCUCUGGUCCAGUACUGACACUCAAGUGCGAAAGCGUGGGGAGCAAACAGG
RNAcentral lists this ribosomal RNA (253 nucleotides) under uncultured bacterium. RNAcentral describes it as "partial 16S ribosomal RNA". It matches the Rfam family "Bacterial small subunit ribosomal RNA", at positions 524 to 776 of the family's 1533-position model. The record is from RNAcentral.